Molecule: ribosomal RNA, 293 nt
Filed under: uncultured bacterium
Lineage: Bacteria
Description: partial 16S ribosomal RNA
Rfam family: Archaeal small subunit ribosomal RNA
Source: RNAcentral
GUGCCAGCAGCCGCGGUAAUACCGGCAGCACGAGUGAUGGCCGAUAUUAUUGGGCCUAAAGCGUCCGUAGCUUGCUGUGUAAGUCCAUUGGGAAAUCGACGUGCUCAACGCGUCGGCGUCCGGUGGAAACUACACGGCUUGGGGCCGAGAGACUCGACGGGUACGUCCGGGGUAGGAGUGUAAUCCUGUAAUCCUGGACGGACCACCAAUGGGGAAACCACGUCGAGAGGCCGGACCCGACAGUGAGGGACAAAAGCCAGGGUCUCGAACCGGAUUAGAAACCCCGGUAGUCC